UGGGGAAUAUUGCACAAUGGGCGAAAGCCUGAUGCAGCGACGCCGCGUGAGUGAAGAAGUAUUUCGGUAUGUAAAGCUCUAUCAGCAAGGAAGAUAAUGACGGUACUUGACUAAGAAGCCCCGGCUAACUACGUGCCAGCAGCCGCGGUAAUACGUAGGGGGCAAGCGUUAUCCGGAUUUACUGGGUGUAAAGGGAGUGUAGGUGGCAUGGCAAGUCAGAAGUGAAAGCCCAGGGCUCAACCCUGGGACUGCUUUUGAAACUGCCGCGCUAGAGUGCAGGAGAGGUAAGUGGAAUUCCUAGUGUAGCGGUGAAAUGCGUAGAUAUUAGGAGGAACACCAGUGGCGAAGGCGGCUUACUGGACUGUAACUGACACUGAGGCUCGAAAGCGUGGGGAGCAAACAGG
This 404-nucleotide ribosomal RNA is filed under the name uncultured bacterium. RNAcentral's name for it is "bacterial SSU rRNA". It matches the Rfam family "Bacterial small subunit ribosomal RNA", at positions 355 to 776 of the family's 1533-position model. The record is from RNAcentral.